UUAACAGUCGCCGAACUUUGGAAGUUUCGAGUAAUUUUGUCGUGCAGGUAACUCGUAGCCUCAAUUUUCCCGUGUACGUAUGAAGGGGCCGCGUAGACUGGUUCUACCUGAGCCGUGAGCCAAUCGUGGAGAAGGAUAACUUUGGUCGGUUGCCGCAUGUUCUGCACAUUUUCGCUUGCUUGUGCCAAUGGUCAUUGUGAUGAGCAACACUUUCAGGCAACAAGAAUUGAUGCUGCGAGUACAAGACGAGUGAUUAGCGUUUUAUCAAGUCGACUGGCGAAAGCAUAUGGCGAAUGGGGAAGCGAACAUAACCUAAUUCGACAAAUACUAAGCAAAAAUUCAUUUAAUGUGAUGUGAUCGAGCAUCGAAAUCUCCACUCCGGUGCCAAACUGACCGCAGUCUAUUUAUUGGUGCAUUGGUGUUGACUUUUCAAGGCAUCACCUAGUUUAUGGAUGUCAUAAAGACUGAGCACCUAGAGCAUCACAAAGCUGCGUUUAUAUGCCACUCAUAAAUUCCCAUCAGUUUUUCCGCAAAAUGUUCUAAAGUGCACAUCAGAAUGACUGGUGGCUGCAAUUGGUUGUCUUUUUUGUUUUCAGGUUGGCAAGCCUUAAAAUACCUAUUUCUAUUUUUCUAAAAUUUUUGACAAAUAAAAGUAUUGUCUGGCAUACAA
Molecule: long non-coding RNA, 670 nt
Organism: Tribolium castaneum (red flour beetle)
Lineage: Eukaryota; Metazoa; Arthropoda; Insecta; Coleoptera; Tenebrionidae
Exons: 2
Source: RefSeq, a predicted model, not a curated record